Long non-coding RNA from Taeniopygia guttata (zebra finch), 2697 nucleotides. The record is from Ensembl. Lineage: Eukaryota; Metazoa; Chordata; Aves; Passeriformes; Estrildidae.
AGGUCUUCUUUUAAUGCAGCUGGAUAUCAGAACCCAUGCCACAUUUAGGAAUCACAUGGCUACCUUGACUACUAGGUUUAGUGGUCUCACAGUUUAAGCCUACAGUAGCUAAUAAUCUCUUCUUUAAUCCUGUCUUGGAUUUAUUUUGGAAGCGAUAGCAUAUUUCCAUAUAGAUAGAAAGCUUCUGGAAUUAAAUUAAGCAGUUAAAUAAACAGCUGAAUUUGUUAAACUUCUUUUGUUUCUCAACACAAACCAUACUUAACAACUAAUCUGAAUGACAAUUAUUUUCAGCUUAAUUAGAAAAUCUUAAUUAACAAUGAAGAUUUAACCUUAAUAUUUUUGGUUUCUGAAUCAUAUAUAAAAAAAUUAACAUUAUAUGAAUAAAUAAGACAAUCUUUUUAAACCUCAAGGCAGGAUUACUGAUGCAGGCAGCCUUCGUUAUUAAACACAUUCUAAAUUAAACGCCUCUAUGAAUUUUAUACUGAAAUAUAUUGUGAUAGUUUUGCAUGCCAAAUGUGACAUUUUGUAUUUUAGAUUCAUCUUCUGUAGUAACUUUGGAAAUGUCAUACAAACAAAGAUUUUGUCAUUUACCAAUGGAAUUACUAUGCAUGGACGGUUAGCCAUCUCUUUUCUGGCUCUUCUGGUUGUUUCAAGUCAGCAAGCCAUAAAAAAUCUUUAUCUCUCUGAAACACAGCAAUUUGGAAGAUAAUCGAAUAGUGACUGGGGGGCAGAAACGCCAGUCUGAGGAAUUAUACCACAAUCUCUCUUGCAUUUACAACCUUCCUCAAAGCGAGUGUCAGUCGAGUAGGAAAAGGAGAUAGAAGAUUCAUCAUAUUUCAAGCCUGUCUCAUUUGCAUGGUGGCAUAGCUGUCUCAUCUCCUGCUGAAAGACUUUGCUUGGCCAGCACUAACAAACUGUUUUGAAGAACUCUUGCCAUGCCCAAAUGAUUCAUCAUUAAUAGCUUUAGACAUUCUCUUUAAGCAUAUGGUUACUUUUGCUGGAAAGCAUAUUUUGGAACCUGCUAAAUUCUAUCCUCUUAAACUAUGAAAAUAGAAAAAAAAACAAAACAAAAAUAUAAUAAUGGAAUGCAAUUGAUUCAGUGAUUUAGCAGUUCAUUUCAGGGAAAAGAGAACUCAUAUAGAAUCUCACCUUCCCACAAGGUCCUGCUGCUCCAUUUAAUCCAGUAUUCACAUCUCUAAGGUUACCAAUGCUGGCUGCCACUUCUUCCUCAAUUCCACCCUGCUCUUUUUUCAGUAGCUGACUUCCCACUCUGCAGAGGUUAGAAUGGGAAGAAGAAUGGAAAAGAAAUUAGCUACAAUGAAUAGACAGAAAGCACUUGCUUUUGGAAAUACAACAGUGCGAUGUUUUCCUUGCACAUACCAUAAGAUGCACCCAGGAGAAACAAGAGUGUGCUAAAGCAGAGAAAUAGCUAGGCUUCAAAAAGCAGCAUUAAAAAUAAUAAUAAUUUAAAAAACACCAAGACCAGUAUUUGUAAGUUGGUGUCACAGGUCAACAUAAGGAACCCCAGCUUUCACUGCCUGUCUGUAAUUGGCUCUGUCUGGCAUUGGGACUUAGGAUCCAGGUCAAGAAUAUUUCAGUAGGAAGCCAUUGCUUCUGUCACCACUUUGAGAACUGACUGACAGCUUCAAUAAACUUGGAAAGGUUUUUUGAAAACACUGAUUCUUUGGGGCUUAGGUUGCUCUAAACCAUUAAAAAAAUGAACUCUGUUUUAAAAAAAUGAAUUCUGUUUUUUGUUAGCUUUUUUUUUCCAAAAAGGUCUUGUAAUUUUAUAUCUUAGAUAAUUUAUAAAUCUUCAGAAUAUAUACAGGACAAGAGCUAUAUAUACAAAUUAUAUACAUGCACAUACACAAACUUUCAGGUGUAUGUAAACCACAGAACCUUCCUUGUUAUUCACAUGUUCAGUUCUUUCAUAUUUAAAGUGAUUUGGGGGGUAAUUUAUAUAAACUCAAAUUUGUUGGGUUUUUGUUUUUGAAGAAAGGUCACUAUGGCACCACAGAAUAUCAGUAAAUCGUGCAAGAAUAGCCCAACACAGGAUAAACCAGUGCUGCCCUUGGUGCACAGGAUACACAAAAGGCACAGUACCCUAUGGAGAAAACCUCAUUCCUAGAACACAGCAGGAGCAAAUGCAAAACUAAGUCAUUUACAAUGAGCACUAUAAAGCUGCCUGCUUUGGCAAUCCCAACCCAACUUUCAACAGAUACAGAACCAUGAGUAAUUCCUCUGUUCCUAAGUGUCAUCAGCAUCUAAAUGUUAUUGACCCUAAGUAAAAACAUCUGUAAAUGCUCUGCUGGCUUCAAAACACAUUAGCUCUUGUUUUCACAAAGUGCUUUAGGAGGCCAGGGAGAGUCAGUCAGUCACACCAGUGCUGGUGAUAGUCCAGCCACACUUGCAGGUGGAGCCAGGGCAGGCACAAAGACAUGGUGGCUCUCAGAAGGUGGAGGCUGAGCAGGCUGUUCAUGGCUCUGGGCUGGUCCUGAGCCAUGCUGGAGGUCAAGGGAAUUCUCUGCAGCUUCCUAAGAGGAGCCACAUAGAGCCAAGGAAAAAACACUGCAUCAUGUGCACUGGCAAUGCAGGAUUUACUGGGAUGUCUACAACACAGGCGUCAGAGAAUAGGCUGUCUUAGGCUCCCAAGCAACGCACCCUGUUAAAUCUUCAGCCACCAAAAAAAAAAAAAAA